AUAUCACUAGGCGGAGGAAAAGAAACUAACGAGGAUUCCCUUAGUAACGGCGAGUGAACAGGGAAGAGCCCAGCACCGAAUCCUUCGGCGUCGCGCCGUUAGGAACUGUGGUGUGUAGGAGAGCACGUCCGUUGCGGUCGCCAUCCUAAUUCCUCUUGACCGGGGAUCCCGCAGAAGGUGCAAGGCCUGUGCGGAUGGGGUCCGUAGCGGUAUGAGCCUCCUUGGAGUCGGGUUGCUUGAAAGUGCAGCCCAAAGCGGGUGGUAAACCCCAUCUAAGGCUAAAUAUGACCACGAGACCGAUAGCGCACAAGUA
RNAcentral lists this ribosomal RNA (313 nucleotides) under uncultured eukaryote. RNAcentral describes it as "partial large subunit ribosomal RNA". It matches the Rfam family "Eukaryotic large subunit ribosomal RNA", at positions 40 to 350 of the family's 3401-position model. The record is from RNAcentral.